This 1195-nucleotide ribosomal RNA is filed under the name Heterodera glycines (soybean cyst nematode). Its description in RNAcentral is "eukaryotic LSU rRNA". The stretch from base 758 to 911 matches the Rfam family "5.8S ribosomal RNA". The record is from RNAcentral. Lineage: Eukaryota; Metazoa; Nematoda; Chromadorea; Rhabditida; Heteroderidae.
CAGCAAACGAAACGACGUGCUGCCGGGAUGAGCCAUUUCGAGAAAUUCGGGGACGGUUAGUGUUCCGGCUUCGGUCGGUAUGCAGACUGGAACCGAUUUAAUCGCAGUGGCUUGAACCGGGCAAAAGUCGUAACAAGGUAGCUGUAGGUGAACCUGCUGCUGGAUCAUUACCCAAGUGAUUCCUAUUCACCACCUACCUGCUGUCCUGUUGGGCUAGCGUUGGCACCACCAAAUGCCCCCGUCCGCUGAUGGGCACAGGUCGUUCGAGAUGACUUGUGGACGCUGCCCAACAUUACGGGGCAGCUGCCUCACGAGCCAUGCUUUUGGGGUGCUUCCAUACGUUGGAGCUGUGGUAUACCGCUCAGUGCUGCACAUGUGAAAGCCUGUGUAUGGCUGCUGCGUGGCAAUGUGUCGGUGGCGGGCCGCCUCGCUUGGCUGGUUCGCUGCGCCAAUGUGGGAUGCACGCUCGUGGGGCGACCUAACGGCUGUGCUGGCGUCUGUGCGUCGUUGAGCGGUUGUUGUGGCAGGCACAUAACACACUGACUGGGGAUGGUGGUUUCGUUCCCGGUCUUACGUGCCGUAACUAGCGGUGUGUUUGUGCUUGCUGCUACGUCCGUGGCCGUGAUGAGACGACGCGGUAGGGCCCGUGCUUGGCCUAGCACGUGGCUUAAGACUCAAUGAGUGUCAGCUCGGGCACCGCCAGCUUUUUCUUUUUUUUUCAUUAUUUUUUUUUACACUUCUGUUGAAGAAUGAAUUCUAGUCUUAUCGGUGGAUCACUCGGCUCGUGGAUCGAUGAAGAACGCAGCCAACUGCGAUAAUUAGUGCGAACUGCAGAAACCUUGAACACAAAACAUUCGAAUGCACAUUGCGCCAUUGGAGUUACAUCCAUUGGCACGCCUGGUUCAGGGUCGUUACCAUAAAAUGCACUGCUUGUGCGUUGCUUCGUGGGAUCAUGUACUUGUACGUGUUCUUACGUUACUUGCUCAGCUCGGCUGUGGGGUUUUGGUGUGCUGGCGCGAACUUGUGGUUCUAAUUCGCGUUUUACGGACCGUAACUCGGGCGCACCAAUGCUUUGCAUGCUGUGGCGGAGUGCCUGGAUUACUGGCAUUCCUGCUUUGAUUUUUCGACCUGAACUCAGACGUGAACACCCGCUGAACUUAAGCAUAUCAGUAAGCGGAGAAAAUGAAUUUUUUUU